Long non-coding RNA from Homo sapiens (human), 929 nucleotides. NCBI's taxonomy places the organism in Eukaryota, Metazoa, Chordata, Mammalia, Primates, Hominidae. The record is from Ensembl.
AAGAGGCACUUGAGAGAACAAAAGGCGAGAGGGAGAGGGAGAAGAGAAGAGAGUGGGAGAGGGAGGAAAAAAAACAGAGAGAGAGGCAAGGAUCAUGGGUGAGGCUGUGAAAACAGAGAAACCAUGUGUUAUGUGACAGGAUGCUCCUCUGAAGACUGACGAUGUUACUUGGGAUUUAAGGUACUAAUCAAGAAGUCUAUAAAGGAAAAAGAUGAGUGUAUAUACACAUAUGUAUGUAUAUAUGUAUUUGUAUAUGUGCAUAUAUAUAAUUUUAAAAAACAAAUACUAGAGCUGUAGAUGUUUGCAGGAAAUAAUAUAGUUUAGGAAGAAAUGUUUGAAAUGCUUGAAAAUGCAGUGUAAUGAAUUAACUGCCAGCUUCAACUUUUAUUCAGUCUUUCCUUGCACCUAAACAUAAUAAGCGAAGGUAAACUCUAAUGUGAGAAGAAUUUCUUUCUUGGUUGAGGAGCUCCUGAAGUUGAGGAAGGGAAAGGAGAAACUGCAGAUCACCGUUACACAAAGCCUGGGGUUGGAGCGAGCAGUGGAAUUAGUCCUCUUCCACAUUCAGACAGGGACACAAGCCACAGCUCUAGCUCCCUCCCAGGCAGAAGGGAGAACAUUCUGGGAGCACAGUGAGGAGAGAAGGGAUAAGGAUGAGUGAAUAAAGUGGAGAGGGAGCAGCUUCACAGAGCAUUGUUCUAAGUCCCCCCAUACUGUGCCUGUGAUUACUGUGAAUUCCUUCACUGCUGAUGGUCACAGCAAGAAGAUUGUCACGCCACUGAAUAUUUGCAUUUGGACCAAUGCAAAGAUAGGAUGUUUCCAUCUGAAGAUUCACUUUUUAAUAGAUAACUUUACAUCUAGCUCUCAGAUCUCCAUGUGUAGCAUCAAAAAGCAUUAAGUAAAUUGCUGUGGAAUGUGUCUUCAAUGAAAUA